AUGAACGCUGGCGGCGUGCCUAAUACAUGCAAGACGAGCGAACAGACGAGGAGCUUGCUCCUCUGACGUUAGCGGCGGACGGGUGAGUAACACGUGGAUAACCUACCUAUAAGACUGGGAUAACUUCGGGAAACCGGAGCUAAUACCGGAUAAUAUAUUGAACCGCAUGGUUCAAUAGUGAAAGACGGUUUUGCUGUCACUUAUAGAUGGAUCCGCGCCGCAUUAGCUAGUUGGUAAGGUAACGGCUUACCAAGGCGACGAUGCGUAGCCGACCUGAGAGGGGGAUCGGCCCCACGGGAAUAGAAACAGGGUCCAAACCCCCAGGGGGGGGAGCGGGGGGGAAUCUCCCGCAAGGGGGGAAACCCGAAGGGGGCAACCCCGCGGGAGGUAGAAAGGUCUUCGGAUCGUAAAACUCUGUUAUUAGGGAAAAAAAAAGGUGUAAGUAACUAUGCACGUUUUGACGGUACCUAAUCAAAAAGCCACGGCUAACUACGU
This 495-nucleotide ribosomal RNA is filed under the name uncultured bacterium. RNAcentral's name for it is "partial 16S ribosomal RNA". It matches the Rfam family "Bacterial small subunit ribosomal RNA", at positions 29 to 506 of the family's 1533-position model. The record is from RNAcentral.